This 486-nucleotide ribosomal RNA is filed under the name uncultured Eubacteriales bacterium. RNAcentral describes it as "uncultured Clostridiales bacterium partial 16S ribosomal RNA". The record is from RNAcentral. Lineage: Bacteria; Bacillati; Bacillota; Clostridia; Eubacteriales.
CACGUAGUUAGCCGGGGCUUCUUACUCAGGUACCGUCAUUUCUUUCUUCCCUGCUGAUAGAGCUUUACGUACCGAGGUACUUCUUCACUCACGCGGCGUCGCUGCAUCAGGGUUUCCCCCAUUGUGCAAUAUUCCCCACUGCUGCCUCCCGUAGGAGUCUGGGCCGUGUCUCAGUCCCAAUGUGGCCGGUCACCCUCUCCAGGCCGGCUACCGAUCGUCGCCUUGGUGGCUCCUAUCCCGCAACUAGCUAAUCGGACGCGGAUCCAUCAUGUACCACCUGAGUUUUUCACACCGGACCAUGCGGUCCUUGUGCGCUUAUGCGGUAUUAGCACCAUUUCCUAAGUGUUAAUCCCCGGUACACGGCAGGUUAUCCACGCGUUACUCACCCGUCCGCACUAACUCGCCUUCACUAGGUUUCAGGCUCUGUCCGUUCGACUUGCAUGUGUUAGGCACGCGCAGCGUUCAUCCUGAGCCAGGAUCAAAUCU